This 25-nucleotide ribosomal RNA is filed under the name Venturia inaequalis. RNAcentral's name for it is "partial 5.8S ribosomal RNA". Lineage: Eukaryota; Fungi; Ascomycota; Dothideomycetes; Venturiales; Venturiaceae. The record is from RNAcentral.
AAGUUAAAUAAACCAAACUUUCAAA